UCCCUGGUGGCUCAGAGGUUAAAGCAUCUGCCCAUGAUGCGGGAGACUCAGGUUCAAUCCCUGGGUAGGGAA
Molecule: transfer RNA, 72 nt
Filed under: Ovis aries (sheep)
Lineage: Eukaryota; Metazoa; Chordata; Mammalia; Artiodactyla; Bovidae
Rfam family: tRNA
About the family: Transfer RNA (tRNA) molecules are approximately 80 nucleotides in length. Their secondary structure includes four short double-helical elements and three loops (D, anti-codon, and T loops). Further hydrogen bonds mediate the characteristic L-shaped molecular structure. tRNAs have two regions of fundamental functional importance: the anti-codon, which is responsible for specific mRNA codon recognition, and the 3' end, to which the tRNAs corresponding amino acid is attached (by aminoacyl-tRNA synthetases). tRNAs cope with the degeneracy of the genetic code in two manners: having more than one tRNA (with a specific anti-codon) for a particular amino acid; and 'wobble' base-pairing, i.e. permitting non-standard base-pairing at the 3rd anti-codon position.
Source: Rfam by way of RNAcentral